Molecule: ribosomal RNA, 1552 nt
Filed under: Kosakonia sacchari SP1
Lineage: Bacteria; Pseudomonadati; Pseudomonadota; Gammaproteobacteria; Enterobacterales; Enterobacteriaceae
Description: bacterial SSU rRNA
Rfam family: Bacterial small subunit ribosomal RNA
Source: RNAcentral
UUAAAUUGAAGAGUUUGAUCAUGGCUCAGAUUGAACGCUGGCGGCAGGCCUAACACAUGCAAGUCGAACGGUAGCACAGAGAGCUUGCUCUCGGGUGACGAGUGGCGGACGGGUGAGUAAUGUCUGGGAAACUGCCUGAUGGAGGGGGAUAACUACUGGAAACGGUAGCUAAUACCGCAUAACGUCGCAAGACCAAAGAGGGGGACCUUAGGGCCUCUUGCCAUCAGAUGUGCCCAGAUGGGAUUAGCUAGUAGGUGGGGUAACGGCUCACCUAGGCGACGAUCCCUAGCUGGUCUGAGAGGAUGACCAGCCACACUGGAACUGAGACACGGUCCAGACUCCUACGGGAGGCAGCAGUGGGGAAUAUUGCACAAUGGGCGCAAGCCUGAUGCAGCCAUGCCGCGUGUAUGAAGAAGGCCUUCGGGUUGUAAAGUACUUUCAGCGGGGAGGAAGGGAGUAAGGUUAAUAACCUUGUUCAUUGACGUUACCCGCAGAAGAAGCACCGGCUAACUCCGUGCCAGCAGCCGCGGUAAUACGGAGGGUGCAAGCGUUAAUCGGAAUUACUGGGCGUAAAGCGCACGCAGGCGGUCUGUCAAGUCGGAUGUGAAAUCCCCGGGCUCAACCUGGGAACUGCAUCCGAAACUGGCAGGCUUGAGUCUCGUAGAGGGAGGUAGAAUUCCAGGUGUAGCGGUGAAAUGCGUAGAGAUCUGGAGGAAUACCGGUGGCGAAGGCGGCCUCCUGGACGAAGACUGACGCUCAGGUGCGAAAGCGUGGGGAGCAAACAGGAUUAGAUACCCUGGUAGUCCACGCCGUAAACGAUGUCUAUUUGGAGGUUGUGCCCUUGAGGCGUGGCUUCCGGAGCUAACGCGUUAAAUAGACCGCCUGGGGAGUACGGCCGCAAGGUUAAAACUCAAAUGAAUUGACGGGGGCCCGCACAAGCGGUGGAGCAUGUGGUUUAAUUCGAUGCAACGCGAAGAACCUUACCUGGUCUUGACAUCCACAGAACUUAGCAGAGAUGCUUUGGUGCCUUCGGGAACUGUGAGACAGGUGCUGCAUGGCUGUCGUCAGCUCGUGUUGUGAAAUGUUGGGUUAAGUCCCGCAACGAGCGCAACCCUUAUCCUUUGUUGCCAGCGGUCCGGCCGGGAACUCAAAGGAGACUGCCAGUGAUAAACUGGAGGAAGGUGGGGAUGACGUCAAGUCAUCAUGGCCCUUACGACCAGGGCUACACACGUGCUACAAUGGCGCAUACAAAGAGAAGCGACCUCGCGAGAGCAAGCGGACCUCAUAAAGUGCGUCGUAGUCCGGAUUGGAGUCUGCAACUCGACUCCAUGAAGUCGGAAUCGCUAGUAAUCGUGGAUCAGAAUGCCACGGUGAAUACGUUCCCGGGCCUUGUACACACCGCCCGUCACACCAUGGGAGUGGGUUGCAAAAGAAGUAGGUAGCUUAACCUUCGGGAGGGCGCUUACCACUUUGUGAUUCAUGACUGGGGUGAAGUCGUAACAAGGUAACCGUAGGGGAACCUGCGGUUGGAUCACCUCCUUACCUUAAAGAA